GUCCCGGUAGCUCAGUAGGUAGAGCAUCUGACUGUUAAUCAGAGGGUCAGAGGUUCGAGUCCUCUCCGGGACG
RNAcentral lists this transfer RNA (73 nucleotides) under Candidatus Woesearchaeota archaeon CG10_big_fil_rev_8_21_14_0_10_34_12. Its description in RNAcentral is "tRNA-Asn". It matches the Rfam family "tRNA". From Rfam's summary of the family: Transfer RNA (tRNA) molecules are approximately 80 nucleotides in length. Their secondary structure includes four short double-helical elements and three loops (D, anti-codon, and T loops). Lineage: Archaea; Nanobdellati; Candidatus Woesearchaeota. The record is from RNAcentral.